UUCCUCUCUUUCUCUCCCUUGUCUUCGCCGGCGACUCCCCUUCCUCGGCCUCAUUCGGGCUCGGCGGCCAAGGGAGGAAGGACCUUGGCUGGAGGGAUAGAAGCGCCUCCAUGUCGCCUUUGUAUAGGUUUAAUUGCAGAGAGGAAGGUCUUCUGAAGUCUGCCAUGAGUGGGACUGCUCUAAUAGGAAGUGGGGGCGAGUCCAGUGCGCCUUGGGAGUCCUUUUCAUCCAAGGGAUGGCUGGAAUCCUGUUGGUGUACCAGGUCAGCAGGCUAGCUUUCAUUACUGUGGAACAU
Long non-coding RNA from Penaeus monodon (black tiger shrimp), 295 nucleotides. RefSeq lists it as uncharacterized. NCBI's taxonomy places the organism in Eukaryota, Metazoa, Arthropoda, Malacostraca, Decapoda, Penaeidae. The record is from RefSeq and is a predicted model, not a curated record. The transcript has 3 exons.